Molecule: ribosomal RNA, 465 nt
Filed under: uncultured bacterium
Lineage: Bacteria
Description: partial 16S ribosomal RNA
Rfam family: Bacterial small subunit ribosomal RNA
Source: RNAcentral
GACGAACGCUGGCGGCGUGCUUAACACAUGCAAGUCGUACGGUAAGGCCCUUUCGGGGGUACCCGAGUGGCGAACGGGUGAGUAACACGUGAGUAACCUGCCCACAACUUUGGGAUAACGCUAGGAAACUGGUGCUAAUACUGGAUAUGUGCUCCUGCUGCAUGGUGGGGGUUGGAAAGCUCCGGCGGUUGUGGAUGGACUCGCGGCCUAUCAGCUUGUUGGUGGGGUAGUGGCCUACCAAGGCGGCGACGGGUAGCCGGCCUGAGAGGGUGACCGGCCACAUUGGGACUGAGAUACGGCCCAGACUCCUACGGGAGGCAGCAGGGGGGAAUAUUGCACAAUGGGCGCAAGCCUGAUGCAGCAACGCCGCGUGCGGGAUAACGGCCUUCGGGUUGUAAACCGCUUUCAGCAGGGACGAAGCUUUUUGUGACGGUACCUGCAGAAGAAGCACCGGCUAACUACGUG